Molecule: ribosomal RNA, 253 nt
Filed under: uncultured prokaryote
Description: partial 16S ribosomal RNA
Rfam family: Bacterial small subunit ribosomal RNA
Source: RNAcentral
UACAGAGGGGGCAAGCGUUGUUCGGAAUUACUGGGCGUAAAGGGCACGUAGGCGGCCUUCUAAGUCGAACGUGAAAUCCCCGGGCUCAACCCGGGAACUGCGUCCGAGACUGAAAGGCUUGAAUCCGGGAGAGGGAUGUGGAAUUCCAGGUGUAGCGGUGAAAUGCGUAGAUAUCUGGAGGAACAUCGGUGGCGAAGGCGGCCCCCUGGACUGAUACUGACGCUGAGGUGCGAAAGCGUGGGGAGCAAACAGG